CCUACGGGUGGCAGCAGUGAGGAAUAUUGGUCAAUGGGCGAGAGCCUGAACCAGCCAAGUAGCGUGAAGGAUGAAUGCCCUACGGGUUGUAAACUUCAUUUAUAAAGGAAUAAAGUGAGGCACGUGUGCCAUUUUGUAUGUACCUUAUGAAUAAGGAUGGGCUAACUCCGUGCCAGCAGCCGCGGUAAUACGGAGGAUCCGAGCGUUAUCCGGAUUUAUUGGGUUUAAAGGGAGCGUAGAUGGGUUGUUAAGUCAGGUGUGAAAGUUUGCGGCUCAACCGUAAAAUUGCCAUUGAUACUGGCAGUCUUGAGUACAGUUGAGGUAGGCGGAAUUCGUGGUGUAGCGGUGAAAUGCUUAGAUAUCACGAAGAACUCCGAUUGCGAAGGCAGCUUACUAAACUGCCACUGACAUUGAUGCUCGAAAGUGUGGGUAUCAAACAGGAUUAGCUACCCUUGUAGUC
RNAcentral lists this ribosomal RNA (460 nucleotides) under uncultured bacterium. Its description in RNAcentral is "partial 16S ribosomal RNA". It matches the Rfam family "Bacterial small subunit ribosomal RNA", at positions 338 to 795 of the family's 1533-position model. The record is from RNAcentral.